Molecule: ribosomal RNA, 437 nt
Filed under: Gymnosporangium sabinae (birnengitterrost)
Lineage: Eukaryota; Fungi; Basidiomycota; Pucciniomycetes; Pucciniales; Gymnosporangiaceae
Description: eukaryotic LSU rRNA
Rfam family: 5.8S ribosomal RNA (bases 2-121)
Source: RNAcentral
UGAUGAAGAACACAGUGAAAUGUGAUAAGUAAUGUGAAUCGCAGAAUUCAGUGAAUCAUCAAAUUUUUGAACGCACCUUGCACCUUUUGGUAUUCCAAAAGGUACACCUGUUUGAGUGUCAUGAAAACUAGCUCAUUAAAUAACUUUUUUAUUAAGGUUUUUUGAUGGAUGUUGAGUGUUGCUGUGAUUAUUAUUACAGCUCACUUUAAAUACAUAAGCUCAUCUUAUCAUUUGAUUUGGACUGACUUGAUGUGAUAUAUAUCAACAUCAUCAAGGAAUGUAUAAUAUACAGCCAAUCAAUUUUUGAAAAGUAGGCUACUAAACAAGAUUUCCUUUAAUGCGGAAAUAUUAUUUGUAAGACCUCAAAUCAGGUGGAAUUACCCGCUGAACUUAAGCAUAUCAAUAAGCGGAGGAAAAGAAACUAACAAGGAUUCCCC